ACCAGCAGCUGUAUCAUCCCAGCAACCCACAACUGGCAAUCCACUGAAGCUAAGCAGAUGUGAGCCUGGUCAGUACCUGGAUGUGAGACCUCCUGGGAAAGCUAAGGUUGCUGCUGGGA
RNAcentral lists this ribosomal RNA (119 nucleotides) under Lepisosteus oculatus (spotted gar). Lineage: Eukaryota; Metazoa; Chordata; Actinopteri; Semionotiformes; Lepisosteidae. The record is from RNAcentral.